RNAcentral lists this ribosomal RNA (491 nucleotides) under uncultured bacterium. Its description in RNAcentral is "partial 16S ribosomal RNA". It matches the Rfam family "Bacterial small subunit ribosomal RNA", at positions 29 to 507 of the family's 1533-position model. The record is from RNAcentral.
AGUGAACGCUGGCGGUAGGCCUAACACAUGCAAGUCGAACGGCAGCACAGUAAGAGCUUGCUCUUACGGGUGGCGAGUGGCGGACGGGUGAGGAAUACAUCGGAAUCUACUUUUUCGUGGGGGAUAACGUAGGGAAACUUACGCUAAUACCGCAUACGACCUACGGGUGAAAGCAGUGGAUCUUCGGACCUUGCGCGAUUGAAUGAGCCGAUGUCGGAUUAGCUAGUUGGCGGGGUACAGGCCCACCAAGGCGACGAUCGGUAGCUGGGCUGAGAGGAUGGUGCGGCCCACUGAAAUUGAGCAGCGACCUGGGGCCUUAGGGAAGGCACCGGUGGGGAAUAUGGGCAGCAGGGGGGAAGCUUGCACAAGCCACGCAGGUGGGGUGAAGAAGCCCUGCGGGUUGUAAAGCCCUUUUGUGGGGAAAAAAAACCCGCGGCUUAAACCCCCCCUGUUUGACGGGAACCAAAAAAAAAAGCACCGCUAACUUCGUG